This 654-nucleotide long non-coding RNA is filed under the name Nicotiana benthamiana. RNAcentral's name for it is "long non-coding RNA (NBEN_LNC035421)". The record is from RNAcentral. Lineage: Eukaryota; Viridiplantae; Streptophyta; Magnoliopsida; Solanales; Solanaceae.
UGGCUCCUACUCACCCAAUCAGGCUGGGACUUGCCCUCAACUUUUCAGUGUUCUACUAUGAAAUUCUCAACUCGUCGGAUCGUGCUUGUAAUCUUGCAAAGCAGGCCUUUGAUGAUGCCAUUGCCGAGCUGGAUACACUGGGUGAGGAAUCUUACAAGGACAGUACAUUGAUUAUGCAGCUUCUCCGAGACAAUCUUACACUUUAGAUCGUGCUUGUAACCUUGCAAAGCAGGUACUUUUCUCAGCUUCUGUUUAUUCAUUUAACUUUGAAUAUCAUCUUAUGUUUGAUUGGUCGAUUGUGCUUAGGCUAUGAAACAGUCAGAUAUUCGUAGUAAUUUUAAAUUGCAUGUUGGAAUAAAGAAUUAACUUUAGCUUUUGAUGUUUGUUGUUGUUGACUUUACUUGCCUAUUCGGCUCCAUGAAAGAUAGUUUUAUCCAUAAUACUAAGUAUUUGAAAGUAAGGAUGGAAAGAUAAAACAGUGCUGCAACUCCAGAGGUUUGGGGAGUGUAUAUCUAUUCUAAACCUCACUACAUGUGGUUCACAAAAUAUUAUCGUGACAAAGAUUGACGAGACGAGAAAUUGCUUGGGCUAGUUUGUAAAAUGAGAUUGCUUUUCUUUAGUUAGCAUGGAGCUAAGAAUCACAUUGAAAUUCUG